UACGAAGGGGGCUAGCGUUGCUCGGAAUUACUGGGCGUAAAGCGCACGUAGGCGGCUUGGUCAGUUAGGGGUGAAAUCCUGGAGCUCAACUCCAGAACUGCCUUUGAUACUGAAGAUCUUGAGUUCGGGAGAGGUGAGUGGAACUGCGAGUGUAGAGGUGAAAUUCGUAGAUAUUCGCAAGAACACCAGUGGCGAAGGCGGCUCACUGGCCCGAUACUGACGCUGAGGCACGAAAGCGUGGGGAGCAAACAGG
RNAcentral lists this ribosomal RNA (253 nucleotides) under uncultured bacterium. RNAcentral describes it as "partial 16S ribosomal RNA". It matches the Rfam family "Bacterial small subunit ribosomal RNA", at positions 524 to 776 of the family's 1533-position model. The record is from RNAcentral.